Molecule: long non-coding RNA, 2854 nt
Organism: Meleagris gallopavo (turkey)
Lineage: Eukaryota; Metazoa; Chordata; Aves; Galliformes; Phasianidae
Source: RefSeq, a predicted model, not a curated record
GUUAUUAUAAUCUGCUUUGCCAAACUCUCUUGUUUAUUUCAUAAUUAUAACAUCUUUAUAUUCAUUGAUUAUACAACUCUUCAGCAAGGUCUGUUGGGAUAGGGCAAGGGGAAAUGGUUUCAAACUAAAAGAGAGGAGAUUUUAGGUUGGAUAUAAGGACUAAGGUUGAUGAAACAUUGGUACAGGUUGUCGAGAGAUGUGGGUGUCCCAUCCCUGGGUCAGGCUGGGCAGGACCCUGAGGACCUGAUGGAGCUGUGGGUGUCCCUGUUCAUUGCAGGGGAGUUGGACCAGAUGGCCUUUAGGUCCCUUGCAACUGAGAAGAUUCUGUGUUCAGACCCUGCUUUGCAUGGCUGCUACAGAGACUUUGCUUGAGUGCCAGUGCGGGGAUUGGGGCAGAUGCUCUGCUUUCUGUGUGGAAACAUGGAAGUUCUGCUAGAGGUCUUUCUCUGGUACAAGGAAUUUCUCAUCGAUUGCCUAACCCCAUGAAUCACACCCCAGGCAGAGGCACGAUGGUUGUACUUGAUAAUGUUAGAGGUCUUUGCCAGCUUUAAUGAUUCUCUGAUGCAGGAGCACAGGGGUGUUCUGAGAACCUGGCUUUGUUGAGGCAUGUUGGUGUAAUUGUGCCAUUGUAAAUGGAGUUUGAAAAUCAUAGUCAAGUUUUAUUCAGAAAGCUCCCUUUGUAGCUUGGCAGAAAUGCCCCCUCCCCCCCACUUUGGAAGUGGUGAACCCUGGAAAUGUAGAUCCUCAGCACGGAGCCAGUGGUUGUUCUGCUGGGGUGUCCUUGCUUUUUCCAGUCAGAAAGAGAUGAGAGGAGGGUCUGGCAGAGAUGGUAUCUGAGUAAUGUUCAGCAAUUUCCUGAACAACACCUUACAUGCAGCUCAGACAGAAUGUUAUGUGUUUGAAGACAUUUUUCUAAUCAUUUGUGUACGUUUUUUUUAGAGGGUUUAUUAUCCUCAGUAAGCCUCGGAUAAAAUCCUUGUGUAACCUAUUAAUCUAGGAUUGCCAUCUGCAAGUACAUGUGUGCUUGUGUGUAUGCAUCACUGUGUAUGCACACAGAUGGAUGGAGGGCCCAGCUCUGUUAAUCAGGAAUCUGUCUCUUUAAUGACUGGAAGGGAAUCAUACAUGUCUGACUUUUAAGAGAUAAAGGCGUGAUGAGAUAGCAAGGCUGGGGCUUGGUCUUUGUGCAAAUUGCAAAGGGAUUCAGAGUUACUGCUCCAGUGUAUAGGUGGAUGGGCAGAUAAUUAGACAGAAUAGAAAAGUAGGCAGAUUAAAUGUGGACUGGGAUGAAUACAUUAAAUGGCUGUAGAAGGAGCACUGUUGUUAAAUGGAAAUGCUUCGCUAUUGUUCAAACUUCAGUUACCUUCCUGGUUUUGAAACAACAAUCUGCUCUUGCUGCAAGCAGUGUGAGAGUGCAAAUACCAGACACAGCUGUGUGUUGGGGGAGGUUCAAAGCAAUCACCUUGUUUCAAGUAUGUGUGGCCAGCCUGGUGCACCUGGGUGUGCAGUCAGUCUGUUGAAGAAGGACCUGUUGCUACUGAGCACAGCCCGGUGCCAUCUACUCUGCCCACCCUGGAGAACAUUGAAGCCCCUUCUGCUCUGAGGGAUCACAGAGUUGGGAAGGACCCAUGAGGGUCACUGAGUCCAACCUCUGGCUCCGCACAGCACCACCCAAACCCUGUGUCUGAGAGCAGCGCCUAGUGCUGUGCUCAGUGCCCUGAGGAGCAGAACCUCCACCUCUCAGCGGCGGUCUUUGGAGUCCCCAGAGGUCAAGGUGCCAGGUGUGUGCUGUUGGCAUGCUGGUGGCAGUAGGAUGGCCGCAGGUCCCACGGUGGUGGAUUUGCAGAGAGCUGCCUCUUCACUGGAGUGCAAUGGACUCUGCAGGCCGAGGGGCUGCUCUGCUUUAUGGGAGAGGCUCUGUGCAGCUGUGGAGGCGGGAGGGGAAGCGUGUUCGUUUGGAUGCCGGCUGUGUCACUGUAAUAAAAGUGAUUGAAUUUGGUCUGGUUUUCUUAUCAGGAGAUUUGGGAACAGUCUCCACAUAUCCCUUUCCCAGUGGAUGAACUUGUUGAGAUGAUAAGACAAUUUUCGCAGCACCUGCUUGGCAAAUAACGCUUGUGUCUUGAUCUGCCAGAAGAGGAGCUGCUGAAGGACUGUGGGCUGUCAGCACUGCUGCAGUCAGCAUUACUGGACUGCUGCAGCUUCUGUAAGCCUGACUCUUGUAAUGGAAGCGUGGUCACUGACCAUGAUGGUGGAGGAGCUGUGUCCUACUUCCUCUUCCUUGACUAUUCCCCUCACUGCAGACAUGGGAACCUCUGGCAGUAAUGAGGGAAACCUCCAUCUGCCUCAUCCACAUGCCUCCACUAUGACCUUCAGCUUUGAGAAAGUAAGUGUGAUUCUUCCCUGAAAAAUACUGGCCUGGUCUGGUGGGAGGUGUCCCUGCCCAUAGCAGGGGCUGGAAAUGGGCCACCCUAAAGGUCCCUUCCACUCCAAACCAUUCUAUGAUGAUACCCGAACUGAUGGUACGCGUAUGCUGUGUCGCUGCAGCUAUUUUGCUAAAUGCUCUCCAAAUGAGGUUGUUUCUUUCCAACUGCAUAUUUGGCUUGUAACAGUGGUCUGCUUUUAGAAAGAACUCACACACAGCAAAGGAAGAGCAACCUGGUACCUGUCUGUAUAUGCCAGCAAAAAGGGUUUUGCAGGUGCUGCAUUACACAGAGCAACUGCUUCAUUCAUUGCCUGCUCCUAACAACAAACAGCAGUCAGCAUUUCAGACAAUCUUCCUUUAAUACAAAGUCAAUAUAUCUACAUACACUGUGGUAUGAAAACCACUUAAUGUUUCAGUUUGAAAUAACAGUGUGAA